This 478-nucleotide ribosomal RNA is filed under the name uncultured bacterium. RNAcentral's name for it is "partial 16S ribosomal RNA". It matches the Rfam family "Bacterial small subunit ribosomal RNA", at positions 28 to 523 of the family's 1533-position model. The record is from RNAcentral.
GACGAACGCUGGCGGCGUGCUUAACACAUGCAAGUCGAACGGUAAGGCCCUUCGGGGUACACGAGUGGCGAACGGGUGAGUAACACGUGGGUGAUCUGCCCUGCACUUCGGGAUAAGCCUGGGAAACUGGGUCUAAUACCGGAUAGGACCACUGCCUGCAUGGGUGGUGGUGGAAAGCUUUUGCGGUGUGGGAUGGGCCCGCGGCCUAUCAGCUUGUUGGUGGGGUGCUGGCCUACCAAGGCGACGACGGGGAGCCGGCCGGAGGGGGUGACCGGCCAAACUGGGACUGGGAUACGGCCCAGACUCCUACGGGAGGCAGCAGUGGGGAAUAUUGCACAAUGGGCGCAAGCCUGAUGCAGCGACGCCGCGUGAGGGAUGACGGCCUUCGGGUUGUAAACCUCUUUCAGCACCGACGAAGCGCAAGUGACGGUAGGUGCAGAAGAAGGACCGGCCAACUACGUGCCAGCCGCCGCUGUAA